RNAcentral lists this ribosomal RNA (492 nucleotides) under uncultured bacterium. RNAcentral's name for it is "partial 16S ribosomal RNA". It matches the Rfam family "Bacterial small subunit ribosomal RNA", at positions 29 to 507 of the family's 1533-position model. The record is from RNAcentral.
AGUGAACGCUGGCGGUAGGCCUAACACAUGCAAGUCGAACGGCAGCACAGUAAGAGCUUGCUCUUACGGGUGGCGAGUGGCGGACGGGUGAGGAAUACAUCGGAAUCUACUUUUUCGUGGGGGAUAACGUAGGGAAACUUCCGCUAAUACCGCAUACGACCUACGGGUGGAAGCAGGGGAUCUUCGGACCUUGCGCGAUUGAAUGAGCCGAUGUCGGAUUAGCUAGUUGGCGGGGUAAAGGCCCACCAAGGCGACGAUCCGUAGCUGGUCUGAGAGGAUGAUCAGCCACACUGGAACUGAGACACGGUCCAGACUCCUACGGGAGGCAGCAGUGGGGAAUAUUGGACAAUGGGCGCAAGCCUGAUCCAGCCAUACCGCGUGGGUGAAGAAGGCCUUCGGAUUGUAAAGCCCUUUUGUUGGGAAAGAAAAGCAGCAGGUUAAUACCCCGCUGUUCUGACGGUACCCAAAGAAUAAGCACCGGCUAACUUCGUG